GUCUACGUAGCUUAAUUCCACCCAAAGCAAGACACUGAAAAUGCCUAGAUGGAUUCAUACAUCCCGUAGGCA
RNAcentral lists this transfer RNA (72 nucleotides) under Cercopithecus nictitans nictitans. RNAcentral describes it as "partial tRNA-Phe". The record is from RNAcentral. Lineage: Eukaryota; Metazoa; Chordata; Mammalia; Primates; Cercopithecidae.